This 460-nucleotide ribosomal RNA is filed under the name uncultured bacterium. RNAcentral describes it as "partial 16S ribosomal RNA". It matches the Rfam family "Bacterial small subunit ribosomal RNA", at positions 338 to 795 of the family's 1533-position model. The record is from RNAcentral.
CCUACGGGAGGCAGCAGUGAGGAAUAUUGGUCAAUGGGCGUAAGCCUGAACCAGCCAAGUAGCGUGAAGGAUGAAGGUCCUAUGGAUCGUAAACUUCUUUUAUAAGGGAAUAAAGUGCGGGACGUGUCCCGUUUUGUAUGUACCUUAUGAAUAAGGAUCGGCUAACUCCGUGCCAUCAGCCGCGGUAAUACGGAGGAUCCGAGCGUUAUCCGGAUUUAUUGGGUUUAAAGGGAGCGUAGGGGGGUUUUUAAGUCAGGGGUGAAAGUCUGUGGCUCAACCAUAGAAUUGCCGUGGAUACUGGCAGGCGUGAGUAUGUUUGAGGCAGGCGGAAUGCGUGGUGUAGCGGUGAAAUGCUUAGAUAUCACGAAGAACCCCGAUGGCGAAGGCAGCUUACUAAGCCGUGACUGACGCUGAUGCACGAAAGCGUGGGGAUCAAACAGGAUUAGAUACCCGAGUAGUC